RNAcentral lists this ribosomal RNA (464 nucleotides) under uncultured bacterium. RNAcentral describes it as "partial 16S ribosomal RNA". It matches the Rfam family "Bacterial small subunit ribosomal RNA", at positions 29 to 507 of the family's 1533-position model. The record is from RNAcentral.
AUUGAACGCUGGCGGCAGGCCUAACACAUGCAAGUCGAGCGGAUGAAGGGAGCUUGCUCCUGGAUUCAGCGGCGGACGGGUGAGUAAUGCCUAGGAAUCUGCCUGGUAGUGGGGGAUAACGUCCGGAAACGGGCGCUAAUACCGCAUACGUCCUGAGGGAGAAAGUGGGGGAUCUUCGGACCUCACGCUAUGAGAUGAGCCUAGGUCGGAUUAGCUAGUUGGUGGGGUAAAGGCCUACCAAGGCGACGAUCGGUAACUGGCCUGAGAGGAUGAUCGUUCACAUUGGGACUGAGAGACGGCCCAGCCUGCUACGGGAGGCAGCAGUGGGGAAUAUGACACAAUGGGCGGAAGCCUGAUGCAGCAACGCCGCGUGUGGGAUGACGGCCUUCGGGUUGUAAACCGCUUUCGCCUGUGACGAAGCGUGAGUGACGGUACUGGGUAAAGAAGCACCGGCUAACUACGUG